This 1482-nucleotide ribosomal RNA is filed under the name Orbilia subovoidea. Its description in RNAcentral is "eukaryotic LSU rRNA". The stretch from base 913 to 1482 matches the Rfam family "Eukaryotic large subunit ribosomal RNA", at positions 1 to 574 of the family's 3401-position model. The record is from RNAcentral. Lineage: Eukaryota; Fungi; Ascomycota; Orbiliomycetes; Orbiliales; Orbiliaceae.
CGCGACUGAAAAUAAAAGCAAGUUGGCAUUAAAUCGCAAGUCGGCACCUGUAUUGCCGGCCACACUUUCGAAUUGCGGGGACGUCCUAAAGCUCACCUUCACCAAACCGGCAUGGAAACCUGACCGGUGGCCAGUGUUAACCGCACUGGGUACGGUAAGAGCGAGGUGAGAUUUUGCAAUGGGCAAUCCGCAGCCAAAUCCCUAAGGCGGUUUCGCUAAGGGAAAGGUUCACAGACUAAGUGGAAGUGGGUUGGACAGAACGGUCCAGCUUAAGAUAUAGUCGGUCCCCUCAGGAAACCGAGGGGGAGUCACAAAACUCAAGUAACAAAAACGUUCCGUAGGUGAACCUGCGGAAGGAUCAUUAACAAUCCUAAAGCUUUAGCUUCUCAGUUGGGUCAAACCUCCUGUUCUGCUAUUCUACCCAUUGUGAACCAAAAAAACCAUUCGCUUCGGCAGCAGGCCGGUUGGGUUCCGACCCUUCUGAGCCGUCAGCCUGCCGGCAGCACCCAACCAAACUUGUUUUUAUGAACCGGUCUUGACAUAAUCAUUAUUGAAUGAAAAUUAAAACUUUCAACAACGGAUCUCUUGGUUCCCGCAUCGAUGAAGAACGCAGCGAAACGCGAUAGUUAAUGUGAAUUGCAGAAUUCAGUGAAUCAUCGAGUCUUUGAACGCACAUUGCGCCCGUUGGUAUUCCGACGGGCAUGCUUGUUUGAGCGUCAUUGCAACCCCUUCGGCGGCAGCUUUUUCGGUUGCAAGUCGGUUUUGGGCCGCGCAUGAUGUCAGCUCCGGCUGACGCUGCCGGCUUUAAAGUUGCACGCUCUGCGGGUCGACUGCCUGAACAAACAUAGUAGAAUCGAACUGUUUGCUGACGGCUUGGUUGGCUCCGCCUGAACAAAAACCCAUCUUAUGGUUUGACCUCAGAUCAAGUAAGGAUACCCGCUGAACUUAAGCAUAUCAAUAAGCGGAGGAAAAGAAACCAACAGGGAUUGCCUCAGUAACGGCGAGUGAAGCGGCAACAGCUCAAAUUUGAAAUCUGAAGUCUUUGUCUUCCGAGUUGUAAUUUGAAGAGGAUGCUUCGAGGUUGGCCACGGUCCAAGUUCCUUGGAACAGGAUGUCAUAGAGGGUGAGAGUCCCGUCUCUGGCUGAUGGCUUUUCUUCAUGUGUAGCUCCUUCGAAGAGUCGAGUUGUUUGGGAAUGCAGCUCAAAAUGGGUGGUAAAUUUCAUCUAAAGCUAAAUAUUGGCGGGAGACCGAUAGCGCACAAGUAGAGUGAUCGAAAGAUGAAAAGCACUUUGAAAAGAGAGUUAAACAGUACGUGAAAUUGUUGAAAGGGAAGCGCUUGCAAUCAGAUCUGCUUUGGGUUGAUCAACGUUCCUUCUGGUUCGUGCACUCUGCCUUUUGCAGGCCAGCAUCGGUUGGAGCGGCGGGACAAAGACUGCGGGAAUGUGGCUCCCUCGGGAGUGUUAUAGCCCGCUGUGCAAUGC